AACGAACGCUGGCGGCAUGCCUAACACAUGCAAGUCGAACGAGACCUUCGGGUCUAGUGGCGCACGGGUGCGUAACGCGUGGGAACCUGCCCUUAGGUUCGGAAUAACUCCCCGACAGGGGUGCUAAUACCGGAUAAUGUCUUCGGACCAAAGAUUUAUCGCCUUUGGAUGGGCCCGCGUUGGAUUAGCUAGUUGGUAGGGUAAAAGCCUACCAAGGCGACGAUCCAUAGCUGGUCUGAGAGGAUGAUCAGCCACACUGGGACUGAGACACGGCCCAGACUCCUACGGGAGGCAGGAGUGGGGAAUAUUGGACAAUGGGCUAAAGCCUGAUCCAGCAAUGCCGCGUGAGUGAUGAAGGCCUUAGGGUUGUAAAGCUCUUUUACCCGGGAUGAUAAUGACAGUACCGGGAGAAUAAGCUCCGGCUAACUCCAUG
Molecule: ribosomal RNA, 433 nt
Filed under: uncultured bacterium
Lineage: Bacteria
Description: partial 16S ribosomal RNA
Rfam family: Bacterial small subunit ribosomal RNA
Source: RNAcentral